UGGAUCAGAAUGCCACGGUGAAUACGUUCCCGGGCCUUGUACACACCGCCCGUCACACCAUGGGAGUGGGUUGCAAAAGAAGUAGGUAGCUUAACCUUCGGGAGGGCGCUUACCACUUUGUGAUUCAUGACUGGGGUGAAGUCGUAACAAGGUAACCGUAGGGGAACCUGCGGUUGGAUCACCUCCUUACCUUAAAGAAGC
RNAcentral lists this ribosomal RNA (201 nucleotides) under Escherichia coli. RNAcentral's name for it is "partial 16S ribosomal RNA". It matches the Rfam family "Bacterial small subunit ribosomal RNA", at positions 1345 to 1533 of the family's 1533-position model. RNAcentral also lists the same sequence under 1 other name. The record is from RNAcentral. Lineage: Bacteria; Pseudomonadati; Pseudomonadota; Gammaproteobacteria; Enterobacterales; Enterobacteriaceae.